RNAcentral lists this ribosomal RNA (799 nucleotides) under uncultured Rhizophagus. Its description in RNAcentral is "SSU rRNA". It matches the Rfam family "Eukaryotic small subunit ribosomal RNA", at positions 314 to 1114 of the family's 1831-position model. Lineage: Eukaryota; Fungi; Glomeromycota; Glomeromycetes; Glomerales; Glomeraceae. The record is from RNAcentral.
AUCAACUUUCGAUGGUAGGAUAGAGGCCUACCAUGGUGGUAACGGGUAACGGGGUGUUAGGGCACGACACCGGAGAGGGAGCCUGAGAAACGGCUACCACAUCCAAGGAUGGCAGCAGGCGCGCAAAUUACCCAAUCCCGACACGGGGAGGUAGUGACAAUAAAUAACAAUACGGGGUUCUUUAGGAUCUCGUAAUUGGAAUGAGUACAAUUUAAAUCUCUUAACGAGGAACAAUUGGAGGGCAAGUCUGGUGCCAGCAGCCGCGGUAAUUCCAGCUCCAAUAGCGUAUAUUAAAGUUGUUGUAGUUAAAAAGCUCGUAGUUGAAUUUCGGGGUUAGUAGGUUGGUCAUGCCUCUGGUAUGUACUGGUCUCACUGAUUCCUCCUUCCUUAUGAACCGUAAUGCCAUUAAUUUGGUGUUGCGGGGAAUUUGGACUGUUACUUUGAAAAAAUUAGAGUGUUUAAAGCAAGCUAACGCUUGAAUACAUUAGCAUGGAAUAAUGAAAUAGGACGUUCGAUCUUAUUUUGUUGGUUUCUAGGAUUGACGUAAUGAUUAAUAGGGAUAGUUGGGGGCAUUAGUAUUCAAUUGUCAGAGGUGAAAUUCUUGGAUUUAUUGAAGACUAACUACUGCGAAAGCAUUUGCCAAGGAUGUUUUCAUUAAUCAAGAACGAAAGUUAGGGGAUCGAAGACGAUCAGAUACCGUCGUAGUCUUAACCAUAAACUAUGCCGACUAGGGAUCGGAUGAUGUUAAUUUUUUAAUGACUCAUUCGGCGCCUUACGGGAAACCAAAGUGUUUGGGUUC